RNAcentral lists this ribosomal RNA (258 nucleotides) under uncultured bacterium. RNAcentral describes it as "partial 16S ribosomal RNA". It matches the Rfam family "Bacterial small subunit ribosomal RNA", at positions 524 to 776 of the family's 1533-position model. RNAcentral also lists the same sequence under 1 other name. The record is from RNAcentral.
AACGGGUGGCGCAAGUGUUACUCCUCUUUACUGGGCGUAAAGGGUGCGUAGGUGGUCUGAGAAGGUAAUUGUGAAAUAGUUACGUGCGAAAACUGGUAACAACAUAAUUUCAACCAUCAGACUGGAGUAUAGAAAACGAAGAUGGAAACUGUGGUGAAGGGUUAAAAUCCGUUUGUACAGCACAGGGAACGCCAAAGGCGAAGGCAAUCUUCGGGCAAGUACUGACACUGAGGCACGAAAGCAUAGGGAUCAAACAGG